This 466-nucleotide ribosomal RNA is filed under the name uncultured bacterium. RNAcentral's name for it is "partial 16S ribosomal RNA". It matches the Rfam family "Bacterial small subunit ribosomal RNA", at positions 29 to 506 of the family's 1533-position model. The record is from RNAcentral.
ACGAACGCUGGCGGCGUGCUUAACCCAUGCAAGUCGCACGGAAAGGCCCUGCUUUUGUGGGGUGCUCGAGUGGCGAACGGGUGAGUAACACGUGAGUAACCUGCCCUUGACUUUGGGAUAACUUCAGGAAACUGGGGCUAAUACCGGAUAGGAGCUCCUGCUGCAUGGUGGGGGUUGGAAAGUUUCGGCGGUUGGGGAUGGACUCGCGGCUUAUCAGCUUGUUGGUGGGGUAGUGGCUUACCAAGGCUUUGACGGGUAGCCGGCCUGAGAGGGUGACCGGCCACAUUGGGACUGGGAUACGGCCCAGACUCCUACGGGAGGCAGCAGUGGGGAAUAUUGCACAAUGGGCGGAAGCCUGAUGCAGCAACGCCGCGUGCGGGAUGACGGCCUUCGGGUGGUAAACCGCUUUCGCCUGUGACGAAGCGUGAGUGACGGUAAUGGGUAAAGAAGCACCGGCUAACUACGU